GGACGGGUGAGUAACACGUGGGUAACCUGCCCUUAAGUGGGGGAUAACAUUUGGAAACAGAUGCUAAUACCGCAUAGAUCCAAGAACCGCAUGGUUCUUGGCUGAAAGAUGGCGUAAGCUAUCGCUUUUGGAUGGACCCGCGGCGUAUUAGCUAGUUGGUGAGGUAAUGGCUCACCAAGGCGAUGAUACGUAGCCGAACUGAGAGGUUGAUCGGCCACAUUGGGACUGAGACACGGCCCAAACUCCUACGGGAGGCAGCAGUAGGGAAUCUUCCACAAUGGACGCAAGUCUGAUGGAGCAACGCCGCGUGAGUGAAGAAGGCUUUCGGGUCGUAAAACUCUGUUGUUGGAGAAGAAUGGUCGGCAGAGUAACUGUUGUCGGCGUGACGGUAUCCAACCAGAAAGCCACGGCUAACUACGUGCCAGCAGCCGCGGUAAUACGUAGGUGGCAAGCGUUAUCCGGAUUUAUUGGGCGUAAAGCGAGCGCAGGCGGUUUUUUAAGUCUGAUGUGAAAGCCCUCGGCUUAACCGAGGAAGCGCAUCGGAAACUGGAAAACUUGAGUGCAGAAGAGGACAGUGGAACUCCAUGUGUAGCGGUGAAAUGCGUAGAUAUAUGGAAGAACACCAGUGGCGAAGGCGGCUGUCUGGUCUGUAACUGACGCUGAGGCUCGAAAGCAUGGGUAGCGAACAGGAUUAGAUACCCUGGUAGUCCAUGCCGUAAACGAUGAAUGCUAGGUGUUGGAGGGUUUCCGCCCUUCAGUGCCGCAGCUAACGCAUUAAGCAUUCCGCCUGGGGAGUACGACCGCAAGGUUGAAACUCAAAGGAAUUGACGGGGGCCCGCACAAGCGGUGGAGCAUGUGGUUUAAUUCGAAGCAACGCGAAGAACCUUACCAGGUCUUGACAUCUUUUGAUCACCUGAGAGAUCAGGUUUCCCCUUCGG
Molecule: ribosomal RNA, 938 nt
Filed under: Lactobacillus sp. F5
Lineage: Bacteria; Bacillati; Bacillota; Bacilli; Lactobacillales; Lactobacillaceae
Description: bacterial SSU rRNA
Rfam family: Bacterial small subunit ribosomal RNA
Source: RNAcentral